GGUGGUAGCUAGGUUUCUAACUGCUUGCGGGGGAUAUUACAGAUAAGCAAGGGAGGAAGCUAGAAUGAUUUAUGUAAUAUGGAUCAGAAUUGCAGACAUCACUACAAACUCAUGUUUGGCUUAAUAUAGAUGGCUACAUAUAGAAAUAUUCAUGGGUAUUUGUAUAUUAAAGAGGUAGCAUACACACGUAUUUCAUUGCUCUAUCUGCUGAGAGGGCCUAGAUGCAAACACAUUCCAGCAGCAACUAACCGACCGCCCCCACCCCCACACCUCCGAUCCUGCUAUCUAACUCCAUGCCUUCAACAAAAGGAGUCAGGGCUCUUUGCAGAAAUGCUGGAUUCAGGAAAUACACCAGAUGAGCCUGGAGUACUGUGUAGUGCCAGAAAGUUAAAACGUGCUCAAAACAACAAACAAUGAUGGGGCAAGGGGAUACAAGAGCCAAAUCAAAGAGUUUUUAGCAGCCACAUUAAAACAAUUUGUGCAAUGAAAUAAAGAAGUACUUAUAAUACAAGGUAUAAAACAAAUAUCCAUGAUUCUUUACUGAUAAAAAUAAAUAAAUGACUGAAUAAAGCAAUAAAUGGGAGAGGACAGACAAAUCUAUGCAAAAGAAUUCCAAAUACUUGACAUAACUGUUUUAACUGUUUUAACUGCCUUUAAGGAGGUAGAGCAAAACUUUCCACUCUGUAAGUGCAUGUAAGUGCAGACCAUGCAUAACGACUUUUUUUUUUUUCCCCAAAAAGUACUUCAUGGAAAGAAAAACAGUAACUUUACAAAUACUAUCUCAAGCCAGGUGAUCAAGGUUAACAUCAACAGUGAUAAGUCAUAAUGAUAGUAUGUACCCUUCAAAUUAUAUGAUGAGAAUGCCAUCUUACCUCUCUGUCUUCCUCCCAAAAACAUAUUAACCAUGAGGAAAACAUCAAAUUCCAGUUAAAGGAGAUUCUACAAAAUAGGCCUGACCAGUAAUCUUCAAAAUUGUGAAGAUCACCAAAAUUGUCAAGAUCACCAAAAAUCUGAAAAACAGUCACAGUCCAGGGGAGCCUAAGGAGGAUAAGAACUAAAUGUGGUCCCAGACAAGAUCCUGGAACAGAAAAUGAACACUAAGGGAAAACUAAGGAAAUAUGAACAAGGAGAUUCCAUGAAAGGAGAGAGGCUGGCACAGCUGGUUGUUCUAUGGCCAUGAGGAGAAGCAUGACAAGAGAGAAGAGAUGCCACUAGAUGAAAAGAACUCUCCAGAGAAGAGUGGAGGCCCAAACUGGGAAGUUAGCUGUAGCAGCUGAUGUCACAAAGCCUGGCUGAGGACCAAAGAGAAACAGGUUCGUUUGGAAGUUCGUAUCUGAGCAGACUGGCUCAACCAGAAGUCCAGAAAAGUGUGGACCAGCUUCAACAGGACAGCACUAACACAGACUACUGCAGUCUCUGCACAGAGAGGCCUAAAGGAGAGGUCACAGCAGUACUCUGCAGGGCAUAACCCUUACAGAAGAACUAUUUGAUGGCAACACACGUAGAAACAAGUAGACAAACACAGCUGUGAAUGAUAAACUCAAAUGACAGUGCUCAGGCAGACAACGGCCCUUCCAACAGUCCAGAACAGGCUUAUUUUAUCUUGUUGUCAUUAGGAUCAAAUGAAAAACAAAAUCUUAAAAUUCUUAUGGAGAACUCUCAGACACUUGAACAUACAUUCCUAAAUUCCAAGAGAGCCACAGAAUCCAUUCUGAGAAACACUGAUGUACUGACUGGUUAAAAAUAAUAAUUGCCCUAGAGGCAACUGAAUUCAUGUAUUUAAUAAUAAUAGCUAACAUUUAGCAGGUGCUUAUGCGUGCUUGGCAGCCAACAUAUAUGGUUUUCUGACCCCAAUGCCCUGCUCCAGUGCACAGUAAUUAGAAAGGAAUAACUAGCCUGGGCAACAUAGGGAGACCCCAUCUCUACAAAUAAUUUAAAAAAUUAGCCAGGUGUGGUGGCACAUGCCUGUAGUCCCAGCUACUAGGAGGGCCACCUGAACCUGGGAGGUUGAGGCUGUACUGAUCCAUGAUCAUGCCGCCACACUCCAACAUGGGUGACAGAGCAAGAGCCCAUCUCAGGGAAAAAAAAAAGGAGGCAAAGAACUAUUAUUUAUGGUUCAUAAUCCACAUGCUAGGCACUUCACUCAGUAUGCUGCAUGCAUUCAUGUAUAACUGUAAAAUACAUGUGCC
Molecule: long non-coding RNA, 2189 nt
Filed under: Homo sapiens (human)
Lineage: Eukaryota; Metazoa; Chordata; Mammalia; Primates; Hominidae
Description: HSALNT0296226
Source: RNAcentral